This 219-nucleotide ribosomal RNA is filed under the name uncultured bacterium. RNAcentral's name for it is "partial 16S ribosomal RNA". It matches the Rfam family "Bacterial small subunit ribosomal RNA", at positions 1283 to 1500 of the family's 1533-position model. The record is from RNAcentral.
UAGUCUCAGUUCGGAUUGUAGGCUGAAACUCGCCUACAUGAAGCUGGAGUUGCUAGUAAUCGCGAAUCAGCAUGUCGCGGUGAAUACGUUCCCGGGCCUUGUACACACCGCCCGUCACACCAUGGGAGUUUGUAACGCCCAAAGUCGGUGGCCUAACCUUUAUGGAGGGAGCCGCCUAAGGCGGGACAGAUGACUGGGGUGAAGUCGUAACAAGGUAGC